GUCACACUGUGGAAGCGGGUAUACCCGCUGAAACGCCGUCUAUUUUGAGCGACUUUCAAGCCCGGCAAAGCCAAUGGAGAAACAUGCUGCGGAUUCUCCGAAAAGAACGAUACAACCUCCCGAUCCAGAAAGUUUUGGACUGGUCCUCAACCUACUGGAGUGUCUGGGAGUUACGGGAUUUACAACCUUUUUGUGUCGGCACAACCUCCGAACACAGGGCUCGUCUAAACCCUUUCUAGAGUGGUAUGCCCACACACUCUAAGGCUUUUCAACCUCUACUCAGGACUAUACGACCCAAAGUUUGCCCUACUGUUCAACCACACAGAAACUAAUUUCACAAUGUCACAAAUUCAAACGUGACUCGGACAUCAACCACAGUUAACACAUCACUUUUGGAGGAUAAAUGUCCCCUUACCUUAUGAAUUGUUGGCCGCCGAUGUACUGUCUGUCAACCAACACCUCAGUCUAAAAUCACGUAAAGGUCACCAAUUGUUAGAGGACACUUUUUUUCCUCCGCGUGUUCAUUUAAUUUCGGGUAGUGAGAAUGUUGAUUAUCCAAAUAAAGCCUGGAGAUGAUGAACAGUUUCUUCGAAGAAUUUACUUGCAGAAUAUUCCGGGCACUUAUGAGUUACUGACAGUAGCUGUAGAGAGCAGAUCACAAGUGCAAAGGUACAGAGAAAGCACAUAUCCUUUAGCUUGUCAGAAGGGCGGCCCAUGAGCGGCAUCAAACCUGUGGCCUGACAUCGGGGCUUUCCACUUAGACAAAGGGUUUCUGUCUCAACCGGUUCUAGCUGGCAAUGGAUUAUUACAAAGUGUUCAGUAUGCAGUUCAUCAAGGUUAGCCUACGUGCUGAGAUGCGCUCAAGGACACAUCUGGCUACAGAGCAAAGCACCACUGAGGACUAUUCGAACAAGACUGUCUGACACCCUGGUAUGGCAAAAACUCGUUCUGUUGUCGAACAGAGAUUCUGAUGGCCAGACCUCAGCAAAGACGUGAAGGAAUUUGUCAAUGCCUGCCUGGUGUUGGUGUUGGACGAGGUCGUCCGCUACCACGGGUUCCCCUGGGAUAUCGUCUCGGACAAAGGCCCGCAAUUCAGCGCCCACUUCUAGAAGGAAUUCUGCACCCUCAUCUGCGCUUCAGCUAGUCUAACUUCGGCCCAUCAUCCGGAGUCUAACGCCCAAACAAAGAGGGUAAAUCAGGAAUUAGAGACUGGACUUCGAUGCGUAGCAUCUAAGGACCAGAGUAUGUGGAGCCAGCAGCUCAAAUGGACUCCGCGGUGCUGUUGGCCCUGGCAGUAGUACGGCGCUGCAAACGGACCUGGGAGGCAGCCUGGAGGACGGUGCUGCACAUGGGUAACAUCUACAAGUCCACAGCAGACCGCAAGAGGAGAGCCGCACCAGCACUCAGGGUGGGGCAGCGAGUCGGGCUCUCCACCAAGGAUCUCCCGCAAAAUUGCUCCCAGUGAUUGGCUGGCAACCAGUUCAUGGUGUAUCCUGCCUCCUGCCCGAAGAUAGCUGGGAAAGACACCAGCACUGCCGCUGCCCUUGUGAGGAUACGUGGCUCCAAACAUGGAUGGAUGGAUAUCCACACACACACUCACACACACACACACACACGCACACGCACACGCACACACACACACACACAGUCAACUUCCCAUCUUGUUGCAGCUGUUUUCUUCACCAGGAACUCAGGAUAAGCCACAGGAUUCAACUAUGAGACCCAGCGAAUAAAUAAAUAAAUAAACUAAAACUUUAGAGAGAUACCGGACCUGUCCAGCACAUUUUCUUGGGCCUUUGUGUCAGAAGAACAAAUAAUCAGUGUGGCAAAGAUCUCCAAAAAUACACAUCCUUCUCUUCAGUUUAGUAUUCAGUUUGCUCACAGUGGAUGCUGUCGUUGUUGUUUUUUUUUGGACUUUUCAACCACUUGCCAACAAGAUGUUUACACCAAGGGAUCAUGCAAUGGGCCAACACUUUUAUUUUUUUGCAAUCAGGCUGUGUUUUAAUUGUAUCAGAUUAUGUUCCCCUCAACCAAAAAUAAUUAAUUAAUUCAUUAAUUCAAUCAUUCAUUCAUUUUCUGAGACUUAUAAGAGUUCACAUCACAGGAUUAGCAGCCUCAACAAAGAAGUCCAGACUUCCCUCUCUUUAAGUGGUUUAUAAACAAGGUUAGGUUGAAUUGAGUUUGGGUCACAACUGUAAGGUAGAUUUCAUGACUAUGCUGUGCAGAAAAAUUCUCAACCUCUUCAAAUGAAAACUACUUUAAAGAUUGUAUCCUUGGUGCAGUUUUUGUUUUCCUCCUGAAUGUGCUGCUACAUGCAGGUGCGUUCUAUUCUAGCAGGAUCCAGGACCAUUUGCGAUCUCAAACCCAUAAACUAUUUGGAUUGUCACAUCAAGAAUUAAGGAGUAAAGAAAGAUAGAUGCUUUUUUUUUCAUUUUAGAGUAAAUAGAUAGGAAGUAUAAAAUGUACACUCACUUGCCACUGCGUUCUCAUCAAAUACAACUUGCACAAAGGAUAUGCUCUAUUUUUUUUUUCCCGGGCUUUUUUUUUUAACUAAUGCACAUUCUGAUUGCCCUGUUUACUACAUGCAAUGGUUAAACCUUUGGAAAAAUGUAACAGUGUGAAGGAAAACAAUUUUACACUGCAGUAAAUGCGAAACAAAAUAAUGCAUGGUGUUAAAUUAAUAGCCUAAUUUAGCAUUAUUACCUUUUCUGAAACAGAAUUUGUACUACGGGUCUGAAGUCUGCUCAGUGAUGUCUCAUUACAUGAGCACAGGAACCGUCUCCCCAAUUUAAGUUUCCUAAAUGUCACAAAGUAGUGAAGGUAUGUUCUCUUCUCUCGUGAACAAACGAAAGCUGGGAUGAAGGCUUCUACUUUUCUAAGGUUUCAUAAGUCUUUUCACAUCUUACAGUUACAGCGGGGAUCAGGCACCACUGUGUGACUUGCUUUUCAAUACUUCAGACGACCAUUAUAGAACAUAAGAGACUUUUCUUCUGUGUAGCUCAAAGAAAUACUCUGGAAAGUCAAUAGGCGAGGUGUUUUCAAUGGAACUAAACCAACAUGCAGGGCAUUUUGCACAAUUCAUCUCAAGUGCUUUUUCAUCCAAGCAGUUCCAAACCUCCUGCCAGCAGCAGGCAUGCCCUGUGGACACAACCUGCUGUUUGCAGUCACUUUAUGUUUUUGUCCGUUUUAAACACCAAAUACCUACUAGUAGUUUCCUUGUUGCAAACGCUGCCACUGUAUGUCAGCUUUAAUGUGACACUUUGCUAUUUGUUAAAGUUGAAUGUAGAAGUAUUGAAUAAAUAGAAAUGUAGGUAGCAUUUCUUGCAUGCUGUUAAUAAUAAUAAACAUAGCAUGUCAUUUUGAAAAUGAGUAUAACAUUUCAUCAGUUCAACAAAGUUUUACAAAACAUAGUUUGAUAAUUCCCAUCAGGAGGCCCCAUAGCUCAGUGGUUAGAGCAUUGGUUUGGUAAACCAAGGUUUGUGAGUUUGCUUCUCACUGGGGGCUUCCACUACCCAAGAGGAGUUGCGUCAGGAAGGGAAUCCAGCGUAAAAACUGUGCCAAACAAAUAUGAACGUUCAUCUGAGAUGACAUGCUGUGGCAACCCGUAACGGGACAAGAACGUAUGUAGUUUGAUAAUUCCCACCAAUGAAACCCAUAGACAUCUCCAUGGAUGUGUUGAGUCUAGGCCAGUUAGUAGUAUUGUGUGAUUUUAACACUUGUUCAGCAAGCGUGCAUUUACUACAUUGCGUUUAUCUGUGUCUCCA
Long non-coding RNA from Syngnathoides biaculeatus (alligator pipefish), 3764 nucleotides. RefSeq lists it as uncharacterized. The transcript is spliced from 4 exons. The record is from RefSeq and is a predicted model, not a curated record. NCBI's taxonomy places the organism in Eukaryota, Metazoa, Chordata, Actinopteri, Syngnathiformes, Syngnathidae.